RNAcentral lists this transfer RNA (67 nucleotides) under Marmota monax (woodchuck). RNAcentral describes it as "tRNA.Ala". The record is from RNAcentral. Lineage: Eukaryota; Metazoa; Chordata; Mammalia; Rodentia; Sciuridae.
GGAUGUAGCUCAGUGGUAAAGCACUUGUCUAGCAUGAGCAAGGCCCUGGGUUCAAUCCCCAGUACUG